Molecule: ribosomal RNA, 600 nt
Filed under: uncultured bacterium
Lineage: Bacteria
Description: bacterial SSU rRNA
Rfam family: Bacterial small subunit ribosomal RNA
Source: RNAcentral
UGAGAGCGGCGUACGGGUGCGGAACACGUGUGCACUGCCUUUAUCUGGGGGAUAGCCUUUCGAAAGGAAGAUUAAUACCCCAUAAUAUGUUGGAUGGCAUCAUUCGACAUUGAAAACUCCGGUGGAUAGAGAUGGGCACGCGCAAGAUUAGAUAGUUGGUGAGGUAACGGCUCACCAAGUCUACGAUCUUUAGGGGGCCUGAGAGGGUGAUCCCCCACACUGGUACUGAGACACGGACCAGACUCCUACGGGAGGCAGCAGUGAGGAAUAUUGGACAAUGGGUGAGAGCCUGAUCCAGCCAUCCCGCGUGAAGGACGACUGCCCUAUGGGUUGUAAACUUCUUUUGUAUAGGGAUAAACCUACCCUCGUGAGGGUAGCUGAAGGUACUAUACGAAUAAGCACCGGCUAACUCCGUGCCAGCAGCCGCGGCAAUACGGAGGGUGCAAGCGUUAUCCGGAUUUAUUGGGUUUAAAGGGUCCGUAGGCGGACUUAUAAGUCAGUGGUGAAAGCCUGGUCGGUUUAACGAUAGAACUGCCAUUGAUUACUGUAAGUCUUGAGUAUAUUUGGAGGUAACUGGAAUAAGUUAGUGUAGGGUUGAAU